CUCUUUUGUCCCUUCUUUUUCUCUCUCUUCUCUUCUCUCUCUUCGCUUUCUUUGUCUUUCUCUCUCCCUUUCAUAAACAGCGGAACCCCAUUGCUGUUUGUGUUUCACUUUUUUUCAUUCUCUUUUUUUAUUGUGGCCUCACUUGAUAACGAUCUCUCUCCACUAUCCUCCUUGUGGUCCCUCACGACUACAACCUUCCCCUCUUUUCAUUGUGGUCCGAGACCACUAUUUCCCCCUUUUUUUUUUUUUUAUCUCCCGCAUGCGCACUUCCUCCCUGUGCACCCUAAGGUUCACCUCCUCUUUUCUGAGGAUCCCUUAUUCAUCUAUCUCCUCUUCACUCCUUCACAGCACCCUUUCUUUGGUGCACGCUCUUGAUGACUUCCUCUCUUUCAUGUCCUGUGGUCCCGCGAGACCACCUUUGCCCAACAUCUUACCAAUCGCACUCUCGUGUACUCAUUUACGUAUUACCCUCUCGUGUACCCAUCUUACCUACAGCUGUCUCGUCAAUCCAUCUUACUUAUCGCCGUGUGCACCCAUCUUACCUAUCGCCGUGCACGCAUCCAUCUUCCCCAACGCGGCGCGAUAUAUCUUUCCCCAACGCCCCGCGCAUCCUAUCUUCCCCAAUGCUAUGUGCGACUGACCUCUUUCCAUCACCGUGUGCGACUGGAGUCUAUCGCCAUGCGUGACAAGCAACCCAUUGCCACGUGCGACAACUCCGUCUCGUGCACCCAGCUCCGUGCGUCGCCACUGCCCCUUCCCUGCCUGAGACCAACUCUGCUGAACCCGGCAGCCCCGGCAGCCAUCUCUCUGCUACACCACCUCUGUCACUACUUUCUCUCUCUAACUCCCUGUCUUUAACCACGACCCACCACUAGCACUUUUCCCAUCUUCACCUUUCCCUGCUCUAUCACCUACAGCCAGACUUCACUGUUCUUCUUCUCCUUUCUUACUCUGCUGCAACCCAUCGCAACCCCAUCUCUCUUCGCUACUCUCACAAAGAGUUCCCCUGCCCAUCUCUCCUUCACUUCCAUCCAUCCUUUCCUCAUCACCAACCGCAGCUCCAUCUUUCUCCAAUUACUCUUGCAGCCUCACCUCUCACAAAAGCAAACCAUACUGCUCCCUCACUGUCUCCUUUCUCUGCUACUCAGUAACCAACCCAUUAUUCCGCCUCUCUAAUCACCAUCCGCCAACCCUCUCUCAGGUGUUCUCUCCUUGCGACCUUCUCCUCUGCUCAAAUCGCCACCAUCUCUCCGCUCCCAACCAGCUGCCACCAUCUCUCAUCAGGUAGCCACGCUUCCUUCCGCCUACUUUCCGCAACCUCAUGCAGCCAUGAUUAUCACCUUGCUACCCUGUCUCCGCCCCUCACAGCCUCUCACGAGUGGUCUCAGCCACCUCCAUCUAGGAUAGCAUGCCCGCUAUCCUCUCGCGCCUUCUACUCUCCUCUCUCUAAAAAACUCACAAGCUGCACUUCAUGAUUUUCUCUCUCUAAAAACACCCAAAGGAAAUGCCCCACCCCAUUUCUUCUUUUCGCCUGGUUUCGUUUUGUUUCUUUGCUUUUCUUUUCAUCUUGUUUCGUUCAACCGUCUUUACCCAAGGAAGCUCCUCGUGUCCUUCGUACUCCUUACAUCUAAAUAACCCAACAAAAAGCACUGCACCCUCUCUCUCAUCUAAAUAACUAAAAAAAGCCAAUACUCUUCCCUCUCAUUCAAAGAACCCUAAAAAAUCCUUCACUCUCCUUUAAUCAAUUUAUUUCUUUAAGUGGUUUAAAAAUCGUCGAGUCGGCAUGGAAUCGACCAAUUUGAAUUGGGAAUCAGUCAUCCCGUGUCGAUUCUUUUGUAAAACAACCGGGAAUCGCGCGAUUCUAAAGAAGAACCAGUGAUUCUGUAGAGUGAAUCGCUGGAUGACGGCCAUGACUCGCCUGGUUGACGUCAUGAGUCACAAGAGGCAAACACGUGCUCCAUCACAAACCCACACUGCUACAUGGGUUUCGCGUGCGACUAGCUUUAGUAGCAGAAGACUAUUUAUCCUUAUCAAAUUUGUUUUGUGGGUUCGAUGUGGGACAAUUGCGCCAAGAAAAGGACAAACAGGUCAAGGGAGGCGAUUCCAAACCGGCCAUAGGCUAGGAGGCUUUCCAACAUGAUCUAAGAUGACGCCCACGCGAGCCAGCCGGAGUGUGUCACGGACUCACAUGAAGUAAGUCCCACAUCACGACCCUUAUUCCUUUCUUAUCGUUGGUACUCUUUUCCGUGUCUUCUUUAUAUGGUUCCCGAAAGAGCGAUCUCAUGUUUCGGGUCCAUCUCGAACCCAGAACCAAUCCUUCAAGUCAACCCGACUUGGAGGAUGAGAUCGAGGCACCUAACCACUCAUCACCUCUCAUUCUCUAUGCAAAAAAUCUAUCUCUAAACUCUCUAGGGUGGAAUGCCACCCUCUGAGAAAAUUCUCACUCACUCUCUCUCUCAUCCAAGAUCUCAUCUCUCUAAAGAGAGAUAGGGGGCACACCCCCAUAAGAGACUAUAGAGGUGGGCACAUCCAACUCAUAAAAUUGCCUAGACAUUGAGGCAUUCGCUCAAUCAAAUUGUUCUUGUUCUCAUAUUUUAGUGAAUGAAAUUAGCCAGGACUAUCACAUAUUUAGAAGAUCCGAGAUUUACUAUUGAUCUCGUGUGUUAUUGGAGGAGGAGUCUUGGUGUAGGGUGUACUAAAUCCGAUUGAGGUAAACUUCUGGUGUCUUGUUUUAUCGUUUACAGUAUUUUAUUUGUUAUGCUUUAUUACUCCCAUAAGCAUUAUGUUGGUUUUAUUCAUUGAACAAAAAAAGUUGUAAUUAGUGGCAGCAAGUGAGAACCACUUUUGAUUAUUUAUUUGUAUAUUUUGAGUUGAGUUUAUUGUAAUUAUACCAUUGUAAGUGUUCUAGUCGGUGUGAAAAAGAAAAAUGAAAAACAAUAUACACCAUGUUAGAUCACCUUAACCUACUUUUAUUGGUAUUAGAGCUAGAUCUAUUUGAUGUCAUAUCUUUUUUUUUCACUAUUUUUUGUUGAGUUGAAUGUUAGAGAUUUGAAGUAAAAUGGCUUUGUGGUCGUAUGGGAAACCUCCAAAAAGAUUAUUGGCAUAAUUCAUGCACCAAAAAGGUACUAUGCAGAAUAAGGUAUUAUGUGUUGUUUUGGACAACUAAUAUGAACAAGAUAAUGAGGUAUUUCUCUAAUGCAUACUUCAAUAAUUUAUUUAUUUACAGUAGGAUCUUCUUGCAAAAUUUCAGUGGGAGAUAACAGGGGAAUUGAGAGUUAUGGACUUAUCUUUCAUGGGUGUCAGUUCUGACUUCUGCAAAAUCUAGGAAUUGUAUAUUGAGUUUCAUGAAUUUUUCCACUUAGUAAGUAAUUUUAUUUUAGGGUAAUAUUCGGCGAUAGCUCAUCAAAUUGAGUCUACUUUCAAAAUAAUUUCGUGGAGAAACUUCUUACAAUUUGAAAAAUAUGGUCAUUUUUAUUUAAGGGUACACAAGUGCUAUUUUUUGCAAUGAAGAUUUUUUUUUAGUGACAUGAAUGUCAUGAUUUUAUUUUUAUUCUUAAAAGAAUAUUUUGAGGCCCAUACUAAGUUUUUAAGAUGCUUUUCGAGCCUAGUUUCUAAAAGAAAUUAUUUAAGAGAUAAAUAUCCUUGCGAAAUAAGGAAAAUUUUUUUUAUUGGAAAGAGCUUAUCCUGAAAUUCUGCAGUUUGGUGUGUUUCAUUGAGAUGUGAACAUCUAUAUUUUCAAGCCUACCUAACAAAGUGAUAUGAGGCAUGUAGAAAGAUAUUUUUUAACUUUUUGUGUCUACUUUGAAACAAAAGAACUUUGAAAGGGAAACUCCAUAUUGAUAGAGAAGAAAGGCAAUUGUACUAGAUAGUGUUCAUCUUGGAAUUCUGCAGUAUGAUAUAUACUGUGACGUGAUUGUCACUUAUUUUAUUUUUAUGAAGAAAAAAUAUUAAUUUAUUAUUCACACAACUAGAUUAAGGUUUGUUCUUGAGUCUAGUUUUCAACAAAAAAGGUUUGAGGUAGAGAUCCUUUGUGAAUUGAGAUAAACAAUUAUUUUAUUGAGAGGUGCACAACCUAAUUUUCUAUUGUAAAAAUAAUAUUGUGACGUAAAUGUUACUAAAUCGUGGACUUACUAAAUGGUGUGAUUUCGGGAUGGCACUGAGUAAUAUUUUGUAUAUUUGUGUCUAUUUCAAUAUUAAAAAAUUUUUAGAGAUAAACUUUUUGUGAUUUGAGAGAUAUCAUAUUUUUAUUAUUGGAUGCUUAUCUUCCAUUCUGCAGUAAAUUAAAAGAUGUGGAAUCUUAAGGCACAUCUUUGCACUCCUCAUAAUGUAAGCCUUUUAGUACUCAUUCUAAUAUUUUAUAUUGUACCAUAAGUAUGGUUUAUAACAUUAAGACUUCAAAGAGGGGUAUUACAAAUUUGGUGAGAUAUGACACUUUAUGUGAAUAGUGCUAAAUCAUGGAAUGUAGAAAGGAAUAAACACAAUAUCUAUGAAAACAUCUUAGUUUCUAUUUGCAAUGAAGCGAUGUGUAGAGUACCUUUGAGGCAGCAUAUAAACUCUACGAUCAGUUGGACUAUCAAGAUUGUGAUUUUUUGUGGGAUGACAUGAAGAAGAGUAUUUCUUCAAGGCAUAUGUAAGGGAGAAUCCAAAGGUCGACGAGGUGGACGAUUCAUUGACUUGUAAAAGAUGAUGACCAAGUGAUUAUUCAUCAGUUGUGUGCUCUUCUAAGAUCACAAAAGUUCGUCAACAAGCAAAAGCAAUAAUGACAAAUGCCCAGAUUGAUAGCAGUGAAUCGAGGACAGGUGACCCAGGGACCGCGAGUAGAAGUUGAAGUUGUGUUGCUUACAGAAGUUUGAUUUCAAUUGUAUGUUUUUGAUGGCUGUUAGCCACAGACUCUGUUUAAAAUUUGAAGUUCUGUAAUGAUCAGAGCCUUCGAAGCCCGCGAACGUUUUUAAUUCUUUGGGAAAAGUUUAUAUACAGUGUAUUUCAGUUAAGGAUCUGACUGUCCAGCUUUUAGUGAA
This is a non-coding RNA of Amborella trichopoda, 5018 nucleotides long. Lineage: Eukaryota; Viridiplantae; Streptophyta; Magnoliopsida; Amborellales; Amborellaceae. The record is from RefSeq and is a predicted model, not a curated record.